AAACCGGGGCUAAUACCGGAUAAUAUUUUGAACUGCAUAGUUCGAAAUUGAAAGGCGGCUUCGGCUGUCACUUAUGGAUGGACCCGCGUCGCAUUAGCUAGUUGGUGAGGUAACGGCUCACCAAGGCAACGAUGCGUAGCCGACCUGAGAGGGUGAUCGGCCACACUGGGACUGAGACACGGCCCAGACUCCUACGGGAGGCAGCAGUAGGGAAUCUUCCGCAAUGGACGAAAGUCUGACGGAGCAACGCCGCGUGAGUGAUGAAGGCUUUCGGGUCGUAAAACUCUGUUGUUAGGGAAGAACAAGUGCUAGUUGAAGAAGCUGGGACCUUGACGGUACCUAACCAGAAAGCCACGGCUAACUACGUGCCAGCAGCCGCGGAAAUACGUAGGGGGCAAGCGUUAUCCGGAAUUAUUGGGCGUAAAGCGCGCGCAGGUGGUUUCUUAAGUCUGAUGUGAAAGCCCACGGCUCAACCGUGAAGGGUCAUUGGAAACUGGGAGACUUGAGUGCAGAAGAGGAGAGUGGAAUUCCAUGUGUAGCGGUGAAAUGCGUAGAGAUAUGGAGGAACACCAGUGGUGAAGGCGACUUUCUGGUCUGUAACUGACACUGAGGCGCGACAGCGUGGAGAGCAAACAGGAUUAGAUACGCUGGUAGUCCACGCCGUAAACGAUGAGUGCUAAGUGUUAGAGGGUUUCCGCCCUUUAGUGCUGAAGUUACCGCAUUACGCACUCCGCCUGGGGAGUACGGCCGCAAGUUUGAAA
This 761-nucleotide ribosomal RNA is filed under the name Bacillus paranthracis. Its description in RNAcentral is "bacterial SSU rRNA". It matches the Rfam family "Bacterial small subunit ribosomal RNA", at positions 154 to 899 of the family's 1533-position model. Lineage: Bacteria; Bacillati; Bacillota; Bacilli; Caryophanales; Bacillaceae. The record is from RNAcentral.